UCCGGUUUAUCACCGGCAGUCACCUUAGAGUGCCCAACUUAAUGCUGGCAACUAAGAUCAAGGGUUGCGCUCGUUACGGGACUUAACCCAACAUCUCACGACACGAGCUGACGACAACCAUGCACCACCUGUCACCACUGUCCCCGAAGGGAAAGGUAUAUCUCUAUACCGGUCAGUGGGAUGUCAAGACCUGGUAAGGUUCUUCGCGUAGCUUCGAAUUAAACCACAUGCUCCGCUGCUUGUGCGGGCCCCCGUCAAUUCCUUUGAGUUUUAGCCUUGCGGCCGUACUCCCCAGGCGGGAUGCUUCCUGCGUUCGCGCCGGCACGGAGGGAGUCGAUGACCUCCCACACCUAGCGCCCAUCGUUUACGGCGUGGACUAC
RNAcentral lists this unclassified non-coding RNA (380 nucleotides) under uncultured Caryophanales bacterium. RNAcentral's name for it is "uncultured Bacillales bacterium contains 16S-23S intergenic spacer region". Lineage: Bacteria; Bacillati; Bacillota; Bacilli; Caryophanales. The record is from RNAcentral.